RNAcentral lists this ribosomal RNA (484 nucleotides) under uncultured bacterium. RNAcentral's name for it is "partial 16S ribosomal RNA". It matches the Rfam family "Bacterial small subunit ribosomal RNA", at positions 30 to 507 of the family's 1533-position model. The record is from RNAcentral.
AUUGAACGCUGGCGGCAGGCCUAACACAUGCAAGUCGAGCGGAUGAAGGGAGCUUGCUCCUGGAUUCAGCGGCGGACGGGUGAGUAAUGCCUAGGAAUCUGCCUGGUAGUGGGGGAUAACGUCCGGAAACGGGCGCUAAUACCGCAUACGUCCUGAGGGAGAAAGUGGGGGAUCUUCGGACCUCACGCUAUCAGAUGAGCCUAGGUCGGAUUAGCUAGUUGGUGGGGUAAAGGCCUACCAAGGCGACGAUUCGUAACUGGUCUGAGAGGAUGAUCAGUCACCCGAGAGCUUGGACGGGGUCCAGGGUCCUGCGAGACGCAGCAGUCGGGUAUAUUGGACAGUGGGCGAAAGCCUGGUCCAGCCGGGCCACGUGUGUGAAGAAAGUCUUCGGAUUGUGAAGCACUUUUAGUGGGGGGGAACGGCAGUAGGUUAAUACCUUGCUGUAUUGACGUUACCAGCAGAAUAAGCACCGGCUAACUUCGUG